UUAAAAGAGGCAGCUGUGACUUUAGCUGUCUGACUAGUUUUCUGUUUGUUGCAAAUGUAACAUGUUAUUUGUUGGCUGAUAUGUGUGUUAAAAUUAAAUGUAUCUUAAGAAGUGUUAUAUUACCAUUUUGGAUGGUUUUCCUACUCUAGAGACUGAGCUAGGUAUAGUCCAGAGUAAAACGAACAUCACCUGUACCACACUUGAGAGCUGGGGAUGUAACAGCAGUGGAGACUUGUCUGGAUUACUUAAAUACCUAAAGACUUCCCCCACGACUGAUAAAAUUACACUCCUAAUACUACAGCUGUUCAUCUUCAGCUGGCAUGUAGACUGGGUCACUGGCAUGUCCGAUGAACCGCACAGCUCUGACGUCACAGUAACUGAAGUUUCUGUCCCACCGGCGUGAACGUCGGUGACUUGGCGGCAGAUGACCUGGCGAUGCUGGGUCCCAGGUCCACACCUUCUACUGCACUCUGACCACUCGCCUACGUCCCAGCUGUUAACCAAGAGAAUAGAGAAGUGAUGUGCUUUAAUGUUGAUGCAUAAGUUUACUAAAGACCUUCACCAAAUUGUCUUUGUCUUAGCUCUGUCUUCUUGGUGACCACAACUACUAAGUUCCUCUUUUCCACAGCGUAUCUUCCUCCCCUUUACCCCCAACGAGCCACUCCAUGAGCCUGGUUCUGGUGAAGGCUUCUUCCUGUUAAAAGGGAGUUUUUCCUUACCACUGUUGCCAAGUGCUUGCUCAUAGGGAGUUGAU
Molecule: long non-coding RNA, 754 nt
Organism: Oreochromis niloticus (Nile tilapia)
Lineage: Eukaryota; Metazoa; Chordata; Actinopteri; Cichliformes; Cichlidae
Exons: 3
Source: RefSeq, a predicted model, not a curated record